RNAcentral lists this ribosomal RNA (443 nucleotides) under uncultured cyanobacterium. RNAcentral describes it as "bacterial SSU rRNA". It matches the Rfam family "Bacterial small subunit ribosomal RNA", at positions 337 to 795 of the family's 1533-position model. Lineage: Bacteria; Bacillati; Cyanobacteriota. The record is from RNAcentral.
UCCUACGGGAGGCUGCAGUCGAGGAUCUUCGGCAAUGGGCGCAAGCCUGACGGAGCAACGCCGCGUGAGGGAUGAAGGCCUCUGGGCUGUAAACCUCUUUUAUCAAGGAAGAAGAUCUGACGGUACUUGAUGAAUAAGCCACGGCUAAUUCCGUGCCAGCAGCCGCGGUAAUACGGGAGUGGCAAGCGUUAUCCGGAAUUAUUGGGCGUAAAGCGUCCGCAGGCGGUCUUUUAAGUCUGUCGUCAAAGCGUGGAGCUUAACUCCAUUUCUGCGAUGGAAACUGGGAGACUAGAGUGUGGUAGGGGCAGAGGGAAUUCCCGGUGUAGCGGUGAAAUGCGUAGAUAUCGGGAAGAACACCAGUGGCGAAGGCGCUCUGCUGGGCCAUAACUGACGCUCAUGGACGAAAGCCAGGGGAGCGAAAGGGAUUAGAUACCCGUGUAGUC